RNAcentral lists this ribosomal RNA (159 nucleotides) under uncultured bacterium. Its description in RNAcentral is "partial 16S ribosomal RNA". It matches the Rfam family "Bacterial small subunit ribosomal RNA", at positions 355 to 509 of the family's 1533-position model. The record is from RNAcentral.
UGAGGAAUAUUGGUCAAUGGGCGGGAAGCCUGAACCAGCCAAGUCGCGUGAGGGAAGACGGCCCUACGGGUUGUAAACCUCUUUUGCCGGGGAGCAAUGCCCAGCUCGCGAGCUGGGAAGGAGAGUACCCGGAGAAAAAGCAUCGGCUAACUCCGUGCC